Molecule: non-coding RNA, 1531 nt
Organism: Phasianus colchicus (ring-necked pheasant)
Lineage: Eukaryota; Metazoa; Chordata; Aves; Galliformes; Phasianidae
Source: RefSeq, a predicted model, not a curated record
GGGAAGGAUUUUUUCCUGGAGAUUCCUGCUUGGUGAAGCUUUCCUUUGUGAAUCUGAAAUAUUCUGAUACAGAGGACUGACUGUUACAGAGGUUGCCAGGACAGGCUCUAUAGGUGGAAUAACCUGAACAACAGACAUACAGAACAUUCCUAUAAGAUGAAAGCGUUCCUCUUAUAGAUCCAGGACCGGACAGGCUGUCUGCUGCACACAGUAACAAAGACUGAAACCAUAUUGGCAUAGUGCCUGUUACAACACUAAAUGCUUCCCUGUGGCUUUCUACUCCCAGGGAGAAAGAGCAAGGAAAUCAGCAGGGAAACCAGUGGAAGUCAUGGUUUGACAACAUCAAAGAACAGCUUGGACCCUAUCCUUAUAGAGAGAAAAAGGUUGCCAGGAUCCCAUGAGUUGGCUGACUAAUAAGUGAAAUUCUGCCAAUGCUCCGAUUCAGGAUGGCUUGGGGUGACCCAGUGAUUGCUGGCCAUCGCUGGUGGAAGAAGUUAACAGGGGAAAAAAAGCAGGGAGAUAAAGAAAAAUAACCAAGCAAAUGUAGGAAUUGGGAACUCAUAGGAGCACAGAGGGAGUCGCCUCUUGAAUCAGAAACGUCUGUGUUAGUAGUAAGGUCAACAGUGACUUCUGAGAAGCAUUUGCAACAUUCGUUACCUCUUCCAUCCUCUGACAUAAACGCAUCAGCGUGUGGUGUUAUUUGUCUUGUCCACACGGAUCAGAAUAAUGGACAACGUGGCAGGGAAAGGCAGAAAAUACAUCAUUUAAGAAGCUGGAUGGCCAGAUGUACACGAACACUGGGAUUUCACAUAACGCACGUGGGUCAGCCCCUUCCAGUUAUUAUAAACAGCCUUGUGCUCUUUUAUGAAGACCAGAUCCUCAGUGAGGUCUGAGUGACUUAAUUUGCUCAUCUGUGCAGGAGAAAGUGGUUAAAGCAAUCCAUGGUGCUGCAGGGCAAGGGACAGACAACUGCCUUUGGGUAAGAAGGGCUGAUGAUUGAUGGUAGGACUAGAUGAUCUUAGUGUUUUUUUCCAACCUUUAUGACUCCAUGAUUCUAAGAAGGAGCUUUGUGAACAUAUAGUGGGUGAAGGACUGCUUAGGCUGUGCAGAAAAUGCUUCCUAGGCCUCCUGAAGUGGAAAAGUCUUCUAAAUCAGCCUAAAUGAAUUGGAUGAAAGCUCCUGCAGCCUUACGAUUUGCUAAUGUGGGGUGUUAAGUUGAGCAGCGUGGCUCUUAGAUUGCUAUAAGUCCUUCCUCAGUGCACUGAUAUGCUCUGUCCCUGCACCUCCUGGAUUUCGGCUCGUAAUGAAGAGCACUGCAAGACCUGGAUUCCCCUGGAGAAGAUGCCAGUGCAGCACUAAAGCCAACAUUUAAGUGAGAAGAAUGAUUCUACUGGAGAAUCUCUGACCACAGACAUGCAUGCUGCUGGCUCAUGGGUCUUGUUAUCCCUAGAUCAUGGGAUGACCAAUGCGAUAGGGCUGCAGAUCUGUUCACAGCCUCUUUAUGUUUUAGAAAAAUCACUUCCCCUAUUUC